This 574-nucleotide long non-coding RNA is filed under the name Homo sapiens (human). RNAcentral describes it as "HSALNT0065188". Lineage: Eukaryota; Metazoa; Chordata; Mammalia; Primates; Hominidae. The record is from RNAcentral.
CAACUCCAGAGGAAUGUAUCCUCGCCUGUUGGACCAUAUGCUCAGGGCUCCAGAUAUGGAGCCUGGCUGUGUUUUCCUGGCCAACAGACACAGUCCAUGGGCCUCCCAAAGCCACAACUAAGCCAGUACCAUCAGAGUGAACCUCAGGACAGCUGCAGAGAAUACUGGAGCAAAAAUGAUCAUGUGCACCUACUGGGCCAACCAGACAGCAAACAGCCCUAGCGGUUGCUGGCAGUCAUUUUGCAACAUUAAGUAAAGCCUCAUCAGAUGAAGUCAACACCACAGAUGGCAGACAGAGACAUGAAAAUAUCUAAUCCUUGGGGGCACACUUGAGCUGCUGAUUCAUGCCCCCCUGAUGCUAGCACUACUCAGCAUUUACCGGUAAUCAGGAGGAUGCAAUUCUACAUCUUGACACUGAAUGUGACAUCUUUGAGUUUCUCCCAGAAAGUGGAUUUUAAAAGUUCUUUUCUUCCUUAUAACAAUUCUUGAAAGAGACUUAAAAUUCAAAUCCAUAUUCAACUAAUGCUUACAGAGAAAAGAGAAUGUCAACAUAUCAUUAGACAGUUGACCACGG